Molecule: ribosomal RNA, 568 nt
Filed under: Xylaria bambusicola
Lineage: Eukaryota; Fungi; Ascomycota; Sordariomycetes; Xylariales; Xylariaceae
Description: eukaryotic LSU rRNA
Rfam family: 5.8S ribosomal RNA (bases 220-373)
Source: RNAcentral
ACAAGGUCUCCGUUGGUGAACCAGCGGAGGGAUCAUUAAAGAGUUAUUACAACUCCCAAACCCAUGUGAACCUUACCAUUUGUUGCCUCGGCAGGUCGCAGCUUACCCUGUGAGAUCCUACCCUGUAGGGCCUCACCUGGUAGUUGCGGGUAAUCCUGCCGGUGGUCUACCAAACUCUGUUUACUAUGUUAUUCUGAAUAUUAUAACUAAAUAAGUUAAAACUUUCAACAACGGAUCUCUUGGUUCUGGCAUCGAUGAAGAACGCAGCGAAAUGCGAUAAGUAAUGUGAAUUGCAGAAUUCAGUGAAUCAUCGAAUCUUUGAACGCACAUUGCGCCCAUUAGUAUUCUAGUGGGCAUGCCUGUUCGAGCGUCAUUUCAACCCUUAAGCCCCUGUUGCUUAGCGUUGGGAGCCUACAACCCUCUGUAGCUCCUCAAAGUUAGUGGCGGAGUCGGUUUCACACUCUAGACGUAGUAAUUUUUAUCUCGCCUAUAGAUGAGCCGGUCCCCUGCCGUAAAACCCCCUAAUUUUUAAAGGUUGACCUCGGAUCAGGUAGGAACUUAAGCAUAU